RNAcentral lists this unclassified non-coding RNA (187 nucleotides) under uncultured fungus. Its description in RNAcentral is "sequence contains ITS2". The record is from RNAcentral. Lineage: Eukaryota; Fungi.
AACGCAUAUUGCACCUUUUGGUAUUCCGAAAGGUACACUUGUUUGAGCGUCAGUUUAAUCUUCAAGUUAAACUUGUUGUUGAAAGGUAACUCUUUCGAAAUAUCUCUUUCCCGUACCGAAAGCAACGAAUUGUCCUAGGUACAAGAUCUUUGACCUCAAAUCAAGUGGGAUUACCCGCUGAACUUAA